Long non-coding RNA from Culicoides brevitarsis, 988 nucleotides. RefSeq lists it as uncharacterized. The transcript has 3 exons. NCBI's taxonomy places the organism in Eukaryota, Metazoa, Arthropoda, Insecta, Diptera, Ceratopogonidae. The record is from RefSeq and is a predicted model, not a curated record.
CAAUUCAUUCCUUCCAUUCACAACUUUUGUCACGAAAGUUCAGGCGAGUGUUGAGAAAUGUCGUCUCACUAAAAAGAAAUAAGUUUUGAGCGAAAAAAUUUAGAAUUCUGUGUUAAAAACUCGUUAAAACGGAGAUAGAAGACAAGUGUACCUCAUGAAUAUUCUUGAGCGAUUUCCUUAUCUGCCGAAAUGUUGUCUGUGUAUAAAUUUAAGAACGGGAUGCAUUUUAGUGGGAUUCGUAUCAAUUAUUUUUCAUUUGACAUUCGUUAUAAUCCGGGACAUUACGGUGCUGAUGUCGGCUAGGAAUGCCAGCAAACAACGAGCUGACGAUACCUCAUACACCCUGUUGUUAAUACUGCUGGUACAAACAGUUUGUAUGCGAUUGCCGGGUGUGUUAUGUUCCUGUUGUACAGUCGCUGGAGCUCUAAUGGAAAGCAUUUUUGUGAUCAAAAUUUCGGUUUGGACGAACUUUUAUGUGCUCAUAUCGAUCGGAGUCGGAGUCGUGUUGUGUGUCGUGCAGCUUUUUGUGCAACCCAUGGCCGUAUUUGUUCUCGUAAUCCUGUUUGAUCUGUUGCUAUUUGUCUUCCUGCAAUAUUUUUUCCUUAUCAUCAACUCCUUCUAUCACUAUCUCAUGCAAGUGAAGCAGAUAGAGGAGCAAGAAUCCUGUUAUGUUACGUACAAUUAUCCGCCCGGUGAAUAAUUUUAUUGAUUUUUUUACGCUCAAACUUUUUUGUGAGUCAGACUUUCUUAUACAUAUUAUUACGAUAUUACAAAUAUACAUCAUAAAUUGUAUCAUUAUAUACAUCACUUAGUUACUUAUGGUCAAUUUAAAAUUGAAUGGAUGCCAAUUAAAAACAUUUACCUCAAAAACAUGACUAAAACAUGGCCUAGCCCUCGUGCAGUGCAUAACGUGAAAUCUCAAGUGUAUAUAAAAUUUAUUAGAUUAGUCUCUUUUGUAAUCCAAAAAAUAUAUAUAUUAUUACAAUAA